GGUACGAUUGUUUCUUCUCAAUAGAAACAGUUGUGAAUCUGCUGCUGGGAAACAACACCGGAUGGGAAAGUGCAACAAAAUGGAAGAAUUCAAGUCGCAUCUUAGCUGCGGUUCGAUUGUUGCUGCAGAGACAGGCCUCUGACUCGCCACUUUGGUUUUGGGCAAAAAGACUCACUGUCCAGUCUGUGGUCCUUCCACCACCGCUGCUGGCUGAGCGUGUGUCCCCCGCAGCGGCGAGACUGAGACGGCACGGUGAUAAAACUGCUGACAGGAACGCAGAACAAAUGGAGCCCAUAUAUAUAUAGAACAUGAGUACAUAUGUGGAAGGAUGACAUGUAUGGUCAGUUCCAGGACGUGUUUCUGUAUGAACUGUAUCUAUAUGUGACAGACAUAAACCAAGGAAGUAUUUAGACUGAGGUUAACAAGAGAAAUGGUGAAAGGAUGGAGACGUGAAGAAAGAAACAAACACAGAGAGAGAGAAAUGUAGUCUUCAUGUGCCAAUGAAAAUACUCUUAGAGCAACAUGAACAAAAUGAAUGAACCUAAGUUGUCAGAUUAUGCAUGUAUGAACAAUAUGAAGAGAUGCCACCCACAGUGAGAAGAUCCUCUCUGACAGUCAUGGUGAGGUCCCUGCGUAGACUGCUCUGUUUGCCUGGCUGUAGUAACUGUAGUACAAAGUAAUUAGAGACCAUCUCCAGUAGGUCACAGUUUAGUCUGUAGUGGCCUUGAAAGAGACAGAGUGGGAGUGAGUGCACAAAGAAGAAGGUGAGAAGAAAAACGGAUAGGGAAAUGAAAGAAGAGGAAAAAGAGAUGCUUCAUUCUGGAGCAGAAUUACG
Paralichthys olivaceus (Japanese flounder) is the source of this 835-nucleotide non-coding RNA. The record is from RefSeq and is a predicted model, not a curated record. NCBI's taxonomy places the organism in Eukaryota, Metazoa, Chordata, Actinopteri, Pleuronectiformes, Paralichthyidae.